AUGUAAUUAUGCGUUUUCUUGCAAUUAACCAAAUAAGCUUAUAAACUGCAAUGCGUUUUCUAGCAAUUAACAAAAUAAGCUUACAAAUUGCAAGGCUCAACUGUUUUAUAUGUAUCCGUGUUAUAUUAUGUUGCUAUUUGUCAUUUAAUUUAUGUUUUAAUUUUUAAUCAUACUUAACCUGACCCAAUUAAUCUCAUUUAAUUAUAAUCAUCACACCUCAUCAAAAGCUUCCUUACAAGAACAUAGUCAGCGAUUUUGGUAUGGCUUAGAACCAGACUACGUCAAGAUCGCUUAUAAAUCGUGCUGGUAAUCGCCUUGCAGCGAAACCAAAAACAAAAAAGAAGAAGAAGAAGAAUGUAAUUAUUGAUUUUUCUUAUUUGUUUUUUGUCGUGAUUUUGAGGUAGUAUAGUAUUUAAAGACAUUCAUUAGAUUAAUUAUUUUAUAAACUUUACGUUUUUGGUGAUUUUGAGUGCUGACAACAUGCCUGUGACUUGUAUUUAGUGAACUGUGGAAGUCCAACUGAUCGGGAUAAUGUUAAUUUUAAUUUGUUUUUUGUCCUGAUUUUGAGCUAAUAUAGUAUUUAAAGACAUUCAUUAGAUUAAUUAUUUUAUAAACUUUACGUUCUUGGUGAUUUUGAGUGCUGACAACAUGCCUGUCACUUGUAUAAUAGUGAACUGUGCAAUGAACUGUGCAAGUCCAACUGAUCAGAAUAAUGUUAAUUUUAAUUUGUUUUUUGUCGUGAUUUUGAGCUUAAUAUAGUAUUUAAAGACAUUCAUUAGAUUAAUUAUUUUAUAAACUUUUCGUUUGUGGUGAUUUUAAGUGCUGAAAACAUGCCUGUAAUCUGUAUAGUAGUGAACUGUGGAAGUCGAGCUGAUCGGAUAAUGUUAAUUUUUUUCGUGUUCCCUCUAUAGGGCUUUUCAUUCACAGUCAUUUGUUUUGAGCUUCUGUCAUAUGUCGUAUAAUCCGUGUAUAGUAAUAUUAUACACGGAUUAUACAACAUCUGACAGAAGCUCGAGACAAAUGACAAUCGAUGAAAACGUAUUAGAAACUCAUUUAUGUUUCCUCACCUAACUAAAUUGUCAAAUAACAGGACGCACUCAUGCUAGGAAUUAUGGUUUUUAUUAAUAUUAUUACAAUUAUUUAUAUGUGACACUAACGUAACUAGUGACAUUCAUUUUUAGGCCAAUGUGACAAACUUUAUUAAUACUAAAUUUUAACAUUUAUCCCCUAUUUUGUUAAAACAAUAUUAUUUUGUUUUUCAUUCUAUUCAAAAUAAAUGCAGUUUUGACAGGGAA
This is a long non-coding RNA of Diabrotica virgifera virgifera (western corn rootworm), 1295 nucleotides long. RefSeq lists it as uncharacterized. Lineage: Eukaryota; Metazoa; Arthropoda; Insecta; Coleoptera; Chrysomelidae. The transcript has 2 exons. The record is from RefSeq and is a predicted model, not a curated record.